UUGUGCCAGGUCCUCUUCCACAGCGUGUAGCAGCUUGGGGUUAGCUUCAUUAUCCUCAGCCUUCCUGCCACGUUUGCUGAAACGGGUGUCCAUCUAGCUACAGUUGUGUAAGCAACGAAAACAGGCUACUUAAAGGCUAACUAGUAUUAGUUGCUGAACGCUAACUUAAUAAAACGGCGAAUACUGUAAACAAAAAGACUAACGUCACAGUUAUAAUGUCCUCUUCAAAAAAAUGUUCUUUUAAAAUCCAAAUUACACACCGUUAUUUCGCGUUAGCUUACCUGAAGUAGGAAACUUCCAGACUGUUGAUCAGUGUGUUGCACUGCUGGCAUGUCCGUCACGUCGCGUUGGGAUCUACUCAUGUGGAUAGUCACGUUACGUAAACGUUACGUUACGCGCGCAUUCAGUUCAAAUUCAACAAAACUUGUAAACAGUGAUGAAAUAUUAAUACAUGUGUUAGUUUUAAUUAGUUUUAUAUUUAGAAAAGCCAACUACGUUUGAAAUCUCAUAACUUUUUUCACGAAUACAGGUGCAGUUCCCCUGUAGACACACGUGGGGGCGCUGUUCUGUCUUGUUGAUGGAGCAUUGAGCGACGAGAAGAAGACUGACGUACCUAUAAAAGGCGCGGUUCAGAGACGGGUGACUAGUUGUUGAUGCAAUGACACUGAUGGAAGAACUUUUAAAACAUAUUAGGCGUUCAAAUACACACAAGAGCAGAAAGAAAAUUCUGAAAUGGAUGCAGAAACGUGGUAUCCUGGCGACGACGAUGAAGUGCGCAAAAUGCAACCGUCACAUGCAUCUGGUGAAAUGCCAUGUCAAGGAUGGGCUGUGGUGUACCAUCAUUGUCGAUGUGGCAACACUUGGCGCCGUGAACGGCAGUGGGUCUUUGGGAUGUUGGAGGUCGACAAGAAGUCCAGAAGACCCAUUCUGAGACUUGUCAGGGAUCGCAGAAGGAAGACACUUAUAGGUCAUAUUAGACGCCAUGUCAGACCCAGAACAUCCAUCCUCAGUGAUGAAUGGCGUGCCUACAAAGGGCAACUUGCCCAGUAUGGGUAUGAUCAUUAUUCGGUCUGCCAUAAAAACAACUUUGUGGACCGAGAGACUGGUGCUCAUACUCAGCAUAUUGAGCGUGCAUAGUAAAGCUACAAGCUGGAAGUAUGGCGUCACAGAGGGAAUCGUACUCCUGAAUCACUCAAGCUUCAUCUUAAGAUGAUAGAAUGGCACCACUGGUUGGGUGUACACCAUUACAAUGGCGUGUUGGGCAGACUUUUCCAUGAUUUUUUUUUUUUUUACUUUACUUUUUACUGAUGUGAAAAAACUUGUUUUUU
Gasterosteus aculeatus aculeatus (three-spined stickleback) is the source of this 1328-nucleotide long non-coding RNA. The record is from Ensembl. Lineage: Eukaryota; Metazoa; Chordata; Actinopteri; Perciformes; Gasterosteidae.